This 403-nucleotide ribosomal RNA is filed under the name uncultured bacterium. RNAcentral describes it as "bacterial SSU rRNA". It matches the Rfam family "Bacterial small subunit ribosomal RNA", at positions 355 to 775 of the family's 1533-position model. The record is from RNAcentral.
UGGGGAAUAUUGGACAAUGGGCGCAAGCCUGAUCCAGCCAUGCCGCGUGAGUGAUGAAGGCCCUAGGGUUGUAAAGCUCUUUUGCCCGGGAAGAUAAUGACGGUACCGGGAGAAUAAGCCCCGGCUAACUUCGUGCCAGCAGCCGCGGUAAUACGAAGGGGGCUAGCGUUGUUCGGAAUCACUGGGCGUAAAGCGCACGUAGGCGGAUUCUUAAGUCAGGGGUGAAAUGCCGGGGCUCAACCUCGGAACUGCCUUUGAUACUGGGGAUCUUGAGUCCAGGAGAGGUGAGUGGAAUUGCGAGUGUAGAGGUGAAAUUCGUAGAUAUUCGCAAGAACACCAGUGGCGAAGGCGGCUCACUGGCCCGGUACUGACGCUGAGGUGCGAAAGCGUGGGGAGCAAACAG